Oncorhynchus tshawytscha (Chinook salmon) is the source of this 3238-nucleotide long non-coding RNA. RefSeq lists it as uncharacterized. The record is from RefSeq and is a predicted model, not a curated record. Lineage: Eukaryota; Metazoa; Chordata; Actinopteri; Salmoniformes; Salmonidae. The transcript has 2 exons.
GCAGGGUUGAAAUUAACACCCGCCAAUCACCAAAUACGGGUAGAUUUUCUGUUUGGCGAGUAAAUCUCAGAAGGCUAUCUGCCACACUGGCGGGUAAAUGUUUGUACCAAAAUAGUCAUGUAAUAAUAUCUGGCAUGAUGGCUCGGAGGAAAUGUUUGCCAGCCACAGACCGUCUCUAGUGCUCCUAGUUUCGCGGCACUGUUUACCGCACGGUACAUCAGCUACUCAACAUCGCUCACUUGCCACGGGUCUGUUGCUAGCUACUGUUCAUUAAAUAGCUGUUAUGUGGCGACAUUUACCUGAAGUAAGCCAACCAUUGAAACGAAAACACGCAGACAAAGGACAAAUCACAUUAAAAAAAUAACGUUUUGUGAGAAAUGGAGGUUUGGAGAUCGUGGUUUCAAGAGGCUGGCUACAGUGUGAUGCUGAGGCUGUGGUGAUGAGUUCUGUGUGUCACCAGUAUGCUAAAGCUAAAAGCAGAAACAACUCAUUUGUCAUCAAGAAAUUAAACAAUGAAGCUGGAGAACAUUCGUGACCAUGAACACAGCAAGUGUCACAUUGCCUACGUGUCUGUGUCCCGGACUAAAUUGUGUCCCGGAGCCUCUUCUCUUGACACCCUCUGUGACGGCGCUAAUGGCAAUGUCAGAGCAGACCAGCACGAAGAUGAAGAUACUGUUUAAGACUGUACAUGCCAUUGGCAAGAAGACGAGACCACUUUCUGACUUCAAGUGGAUGUGUGAGUAAGUGAAAAUGUUGUUACUCUUGUAGCUUGACUAAUACUUCUGUAGCUAGUUUUUUCAAGUCUAUUUAGCAGAUGUGGUCCAGUUUAUUUCUCAGCUCUUGAUAAGCUUUGGUUCACAUCCAAAUAGUGUAUAAAUAUCAUAACAUUAUAGGCCUACUGAUGCUGACAUGGAUCUCCAUGCUUUCCUAUGGCUCUGUAAUAUUCUAUUUUAAUGUUUGUCUCCAGAUGGUGUUUACAUUUUAAAGCAUUGACACAAUUGACUUUACCAGCCUUAUGGUGUUGAUCCUGAAGUAAACAAAGGGUAGAAGGCUAAUUUAGCACAAUCAACUGCCAGCUAUAUUGGAUAAUAUGGUUCUAUAUUUAAUUAUCGAAUUAAUUUGAUGUUUGAUUUUUGCAGUUUAGAUGAAAAAACAAGGAAUCGCUGUGGGCUCAACAUAUAGAAACGAGAAGCAGGCCAAAGAGUUUAUGCACCAUAUUGCAGAGGUGGAGAGAAACAACAUCAGAGCGAAUAUGAGAAACACCACAUUUCUCUCCAUGUCAGAUGGCUCCACAGACAGUUCUGUGAAAAAGGAGUUUGUCACAUUCUGUCAUAAGGGCAAGAUCGAGUCGAAGUUUGUUGGCAUCAAGUCGGUGGAGAAGGCAGACGUGGCACACGUAAGCAACGCCAUCGUGGAGGGAGUGUGAUGAGUGGGGCCGUCAGUGCCAUCGUGGAGGGAGUGUGUGAUGAGUGGGGGAGCAAGUUAUUCGCUCUGGGAACAGAUGGAGCUGCUGUGAUGACCAGAGCCAAGAAUGGUGUGGUCAUCCGGCUGAAGGGGGACAGGGCCAUCAUUGGCAUCCACUGUAUGGCACACCGCCUUCAACUGACCUUUUCUGAUGCCAUCUGGUUCAACGUGAUGUUUCAGAAAGUAGAAGACCUCCCCAGUGGGCUCUAUACCAGCCCACUGAACAGUGAAAACCUGGUAAACAGCUUCCAGGCUCUUUGGGGGCACACCACUGGUGCCCACCAGAAUUGGCGGGACCCGAUGGGUAGGACACCUAUUGCGUGCACUGGACCACUUCCUGCGAGGUUACCAGGGGCGUGUCCAGCACCUGGAACAGGUAGUGGCUCUAGAUUGCUAUGUUAAGUACUCCAAAAGUCAUCAAUAUGUAAUGUCCAGUAAAUAACAACAAACACGGUUAAAAUUGGUAACAUCGUGUUUCAAUGCUUUAUGCACUGAUAAAAUGUCAUGUCUAAUUAAGUUUUUUUUUUGGACAGCAAUUGUCUAUUUGUGUGUCUUUGAAUCUGAAAUACAUAAAGAACAAUCUGCUGAUGCCCAAAAUGUCUGAGGUGUCCAGCAGUCCAAGGCCAGGAAAUACUACAGUACUACGAGGGAGGCUGUUGUCUGCUUCUGUGGCUUCCUGCAUGACACACUAACACACCUGAACAACCUGUCUGCCUGUCUGCAGAGGUUCACCAUCACCAUAGCUGCCUGUCUGCAGAGGUUCACCACAGCAGAAGCCCACAGCUCCUUGUGCUCAACACAGGCAUUACUUAAGAAGUACAAAACCAGAUUUUGGAGACACUGAACUGGACACCCUGGUGAACCACUUCCUGUCCUGGAGACCUCUGGCAUCCAUGUUGAAAGGAUCCCUGACCAGUGGACUGUCCUGAAAGUGCUGAUGUACCAAGAGCCCCAGUCCCCUGCAGAAGAUGUCCUGGUUCUAUAUCAACAGUAGCCAUCAGCAGUCCUGCCCUGAUUUGCUGGCAUUGGUUGACCUGGUCCCCUCCUUCCCUGCAUCCACAGCUGAAUGUGAAAGAAGUUUUAAUACCAUGAAACAGGUGAAAACCGAUUGGCGGUCCAACCUAAAGUCUGAUACACUGUCAGAUCUUAUGGUCCAGCUGUCCUCUCCAGAGAUCAGGGAGUAUGAUCCGAUUAAAGCUGUGAUGCUGUGGCACCAGGACUCUGUCAGGAGUAGGAGGCCAGACUUCAUGGACUGUGCAAAAGAGGGUGAUUGUAGUAGAGAGUGAGGAGUCUGAGGAGGUUUAAGUUUAUUUAAAUGAUUAAGCAUCUGAUAGGUUUACAAAACCUUCAAAUGUACUGUUAUGUUUGAUCCUUAAGUACAUUUAAUAGCAAAUACUUCAGUAGAAUUUUGAGUUCAAGACUUAAGUUGUAUUCAGGCUGGGAAAUGAAAUGUAGCCACAGCCAAAAUUAACCAGCGUCUGAUAAGUCUCUAUUUUACCAGGGUAUUUCUACUCAAAGUAAAGGAUUUGUAGACCUGUUUCCCCUUUGUAUCAGUUCCACUGCACUUCUCAUAAUUGUAUCUUACCAUUGUUGUUGCCUUGUUUUGACUUCUAUGUGCUCUUAUUCAUUGUAUCUGAUAUGUUUAGUUUAUUUCAUUGUGUGCCCACUGUUUGGUGUUUUUUCACUCUGUACGGCACGUUUGGUCAACUACAGUUGUAUUUAAAUGUGCUCUACAAAUAAACUGUUGAUCAAUAUAUUAAAAUUUUGUUUCAAA